RNAcentral lists this ribosomal RNA (484 nucleotides) under uncultured bacterium. Its description in RNAcentral is "partial 16S ribosomal RNA". It matches the Rfam family "Bacterial small subunit ribosomal RNA", at positions 30 to 507 of the family's 1533-position model. The record is from RNAcentral.
AUUGAACGCUGGCGGCAGGCCUAACACAUGCAAGUCGAGCGGAUGAAGGGAGCUUGCUCCUGGAUUCAGCGGCGGACGGGUGAGUAAUGCCUAGGAAUCUGCCUGGUAGUGGGGGAUAACGUCCGGAAACGGGCGCUAAUACCGCAUACGUCCUGAGGGAGAAAGUGGGGGAUCUUCGGACCUCACGCUAUCAGAUGAGCCUAGGUCGGAUUAGCUAGUUGGUGGGGUAAAGGCCUACCAGGGCGACGAUCCGUAACUGGUCUGAGAGGAUGAUCAGUCACACUGGAACUGAGACACGGUCCAGACUCCUACGGGAGGCAGCAGUGGGGAAUAUUGAACAAUGGGCGAAAGCCUGAUCCAGCCAUGCCGCGUGUGUGAAGAAGGUCUUCGGAUUGUAAAGCACUUUAAGUUGGGAGGAAGGGCAGUAAGUUAAUACCUUGCUGUUUUGACGUUACCAACAGAAUAAGCACCGGCUAACUUCGUG